RNAcentral lists this ribosomal RNA (292 nucleotides) under uncultured bacterium. Its description in RNAcentral is "partial 16S ribosomal RNA". It matches the Rfam family "Bacterial small subunit ribosomal RNA", at positions 505 to 796 of the family's 1533-position model. The record is from RNAcentral.
GUGUCAGCAGCCGCGGUAAUACGUAGGGUGCGAGCGUUGUCCGGAAUUACUGGGCGUAAAGAGCUCGUAGGUGGUUUGUCGCGUUGUUCGUGAAAACCGGGGGCUUAACCCUCGGCGUGCGGGCGAUACGGGCAGACUUGAGUACUGCAGGGGAGACUGGAAUUCCUGGUGUAGCGGUGGAAUGCGCAGAUAUCAGGAGGAACACCGGUGGCGAAGGCGGGUCUCUGGGCAGUAACUGACGCUGAGGAGCGAAAGCGUGGGGAGCGAACAGGAUUAGAAACCCUUGUAGUCC